UACGAAGGGGGCUAGCGUUGUUCGGAUUUACUGGGCGUAAAGCGCACGUAGGCGGAUUGUUAAGCCAGGGGUGAAAUCCCGGAGCUCAACUCCGGAACUGCCUUUGAUACUGGCAAUCUUGAGGCUGGAAGAGGUUGGUAGAAUUCCCAGUGUAGAGGUGAAAUUCGUAGAUAUUGGGAAGAAUACCAGUGGCGAAGGCGGCCAACUGGUCCAGAUCUGACGCUGAGGUGCGAAAGCGUGGGGAGCAAACAGG
RNAcentral lists this ribosomal RNA (253 nucleotides) under uncultured bacterium. Its description in RNAcentral is "partial 16S ribosomal RNA". It matches the Rfam family "Bacterial small subunit ribosomal RNA", at positions 524 to 776 of the family's 1533-position model. The record is from RNAcentral.